RNAcentral lists this long non-coding RNA (702 nucleotides) under Elaeis guineensis (African oil palm). RNAcentral describes it as "long non-coding RNA (EGUI_LNC043829)". Lineage: Eukaryota; Viridiplantae; Streptophyta; Magnoliopsida; Arecales; Arecaceae. The record is from RNAcentral.
AGCACUACAAGAAUCCUCAAUACAUUUUCUAGCUAAUGAUUGAAUAUAUGAAAUUAAAAAAAAAAAAACUAUGAAGUAAGGUAUAUAUCUUUAAUACAUCUAUGAUCUGGUCUAUCAACUUCGUCAACUCACCAUUUUCUUUGUUCAGUCGGUCAGCCCACCACUAACAGCUAAUCUCCAGUUCAGUGACUCAGAUGUACAGGUUUUGGGACUAAUUUUUCAGGCUAAAUAUGGGGUCGGUCGCUCCAACGCUGAUCAGAAGACGGACACCGGCCCAUCUCUGGAGCGGCCCAUCCGCCGGAUUUCAGUGGACGAGGGAGUCCGAGAAAAGAAAGAAACUAGCCGUUUAUACAGGAGCCUCUCUCGCCUUUCGCGACCCGACUUUUAAAAUAUUCCAGAGGGAAAUCAAAGAGAUCCAAAUGCUUCUCUAUGAAUGCAUUACAUGUGGAUAGGACCAUGAUCCCUAUAAAAUUUUCCCAUAUUUCUCCCUUCCAUUCUCCAUCCCAACCUCAUCUCCGUCUCUUCUCCCAAAACUCCAUCGAAACACAGGCCAUAAAAAGAGAGGCUUUCUUCUCCCAUCUAAAAAGAACUUCCUUUUCCUCUUCCUCACACUAGAGGAGUCCACUAUAAAUCCCUCAAACAACUCUUGUGCUUCAACCUCACCUUCUUCCAUUACAACAACAAAAGACUUGGAGAGAGGAG